UGGCCACCAAGGGCGAGGGGAGCAGGCAGAGGGCGCCCACGCGCGGUUUCCCCUAGUGUGCGGACACGGGCGUGGCAGCAGUGGUGUCUGUGAAGUGAACGCCUAGGCCUACCCGUCAAAUGGAACGGAACACUAAGGACACGUUUGAAAAAACAGUCUAACCGUCUUUUUGCGUCGUCCUGCUGGGCUGAUUAGCGCAAACAAGAUUAUAAUGUGGACAUACAGUUUGUUAUACAACCGCAUUUCCAAGCUCACAUUUCUGUUUUCUUAAAAAAUAUUUAUUUGAGAAUUACAGACAGAGGGAGAGGGAGAGAGGUCUUCCAUCCGCUGGUUCACUCCGCAGUUGGCCGCAAGGGCCGGAGCUGCACCGAUCCGAAGCCAGGAGCCAGGAGCCAGGAGCUUCUUCCAGGUCUCCCACGUGGGUGCAGGGGCCCCAGGACCUGGGCCAUCUUCCACUGCCUUCCCGGGCCAUAGAGAGCUGGGUCGGAAGUGGAGCGGCCGGGAUAUGAACCAGUGCCCACAUGGGAUGCUGGCGCCUCAGGCGGACCUUAGCCCACUAUGCCACAGCGCCAGCCCCUUACGUUUCUAUUUCUGUAAUUACUGCAAAUUGAUUCUUAGGAGACCAUAAGGUUGGUUGAGAAGCUUCCACUUGGCAGAGAGGGAAAGGACCUAGUUACCACGGCAGGUUCUAUAGUGAAACCAAAGGGAGCAACGAGAGGAGUGGGAACAAGCUCCAAGUCCUGGCCUCACAAAGAUAUGCGAGCACCUAAAUGGUUUUCCUAAGCAGUUUAGAAGACACGGUGUGGGUUCUCCGUGGUACAGACUUCACACUGGGCUGUAGCUCAGAGAACACCAGUUUCAAAGGCGCUGAGGGUCCCUCUGCUGAUUUCUUUUUUGGGGGGCCGGUGCUGUGGUGCAGCGGGUUAAAGCCCUGGCUUGAAGCAUUGGCAUCCCAUAUGGGCGUCAGUUCGAGUCCUGGCUGCUCCUCUUCCUGUCCAGCUCUCUGCUAUCACCUGGGAUAGCAGUAGAAGAUGGCCCAAGUCCUUGGGCCCCUGCACCCACAUGGGAGACCUGGAAGAAACUCCUGGCUUCUGGCUUCGGAUCGGCACAGCUCUGGCCGUUGUGGUCAUCUGGGGAGUGAA
Molecule: long non-coding RNA, 1142 nt
Organism: Lepus europaeus (European hare)
Lineage: Eukaryota; Metazoa; Chordata; Mammalia; Lagomorpha; Leporidae
Exons: 3
Source: RefSeq, a predicted model, not a curated record